AAACUUUCAACAACGGAUCUCUUGGUUCCAGCAACGAUGAAGAACGCAGCAAAAUGCGAGACGCGGUGCGAACUGCAGUUAGUGAGUCAUCGAAGUUUUGAACGCACAUUGCGCCCUGGCCCACGGCCUGAUGCAAGGGGCACGCAUGGUCGAGCGCCUUUU
This 162-nucleotide ribosomal RNA is filed under the name Phaeothyriolum corymbiae. RNAcentral describes it as "5.8S ribosomal RNA". It matches the Rfam family "5.8S ribosomal RNA". Rfam says of the family: 5.8S ribosomal RNA (5.8S rRNA) is a component of the large subunit of the eukaryotic ribosome. It is transcribed by RNA polymerase I as part of the 45S precursor that also contains 18S and 28S rRNA. RNAcentral also lists the same sequence under 1 other name. The record is from RNAcentral. Lineage: Eukaryota; Fungi; Ascomycota; Dothideomycetes; Microthyriales.